Molecule: long non-coding RNA, 435 nt
Filed under: Phasianus colchicus (ring-necked pheasant)
Lineage: Eukaryota; Metazoa; Chordata; Aves; Galliformes; Phasianidae
Description: lncRNA (ENSPCLG00000003727.1)
Source: RNAcentral
CUCAUGAGUUAUUCAUCCUCCUGUAACACUAUAACAUCGUCAUCUUAGAAGUAAAAAUAAUCUCUCAUGCACAUUUUCUUCAUUUCCAGGUAUUCCAGGUAUCUCUGGUGGUGCCUGGGAAAUGGAAGUACUGUAGCUUAGUCUCCAAACUGGAUGGCAGUAAGGAGCAAAGAAACCCGUGGGACAACAUGGUCCACUACCAUUGCAGCAUAUCAGUGUGUCAGCAUAAAGUAGGAUUUACUAGAAGAGCUGGAACUAGAUUUGAGAGAGAACAGAAUGAGCUUUUCCAGCAGCCUCUUCUCUUUCCUCAGAGGCACUGAAAGUGCACCAUGGACCCACCAUGAAGUUUCCUCAACUACAAAGUCUGUGAGAUCACUGUGUGCUUGAGUCUCAUCAUCUGCAUCACUGCACAGAUUUUUGUGUCUGCCAUACUUG